RNAcentral lists this transfer RNA (74 nucleotides) under Verrucomicrobiota bacterium. Its description in RNAcentral is "Verrucomicrobia bacterium tRNA-Pro". It matches the Rfam family "tRNA". From Rfam's summary of the family: Transfer RNA (tRNA) molecules are approximately 80 nucleotides in length. Their secondary structure includes four short double-helical elements and three loops (D, anti-codon, and T loops). Further hydrogen bonds mediate the characteristic L-shaped molecular structure. tRNAs have two regions of fundamental functional importance: the anti-codon, which is responsible for specific mRNA codon recognition, and the 3' end, to which the tRNAs corresponding amino acid is attached (by aminoacyl-tRNA synthetases). tRNAs cope with the degeneracy of the genetic code in two manners: having more than one tRNA (with a specific anti-codon) for a particular amino acid; and 'wobble' base-pairing, i.e. permitting non-standard base-pairing at the 3rd anti-codon position. RNAcentral also lists the same sequence under 1 other name. The record is from RNAcentral. Lineage: Bacteria; Pseudomonadati; Verrucomicrobiota.
CGGGCUGUGGCUCAUGGUAGAGCGCUGCGUUCGGGACGCAGAGGCCGUGGGUUCAAAUCCCACCAGCCCGACCA